RNAcentral lists this ribosomal RNA (151 nucleotides) under Novosphingobium mangrovi. RNAcentral's name for it is "partial 23S ribosomal RNA". It matches the Rfam family "Bacterial large subunit ribosomal RNA", at positions 2758 to 2925 of the family's 2925-position model. The record is from RNAcentral. Lineage: Bacteria; Pseudomonadati; Pseudomonadota; Alphaproteobacteria; Sphingomonadales; Sphingomonadaceae.
GAAGGGAUAACCGCUGAAAGCAUCUAAGCGGGAAGCCUCCCUCGAGAUUAGGUAUCAUCGAGUCGUGAUAGACCAUCACGUUGAUAGGCCAGGUGUGGAAGCGCGGUAACGCGUGAAGCUAACUGGUCCUAAUAACUCUGUUCAUGCUUGU